Neopsephotus bourkii (Bourke's parrot) is the source of this 3734-nucleotide long non-coding RNA. RefSeq lists it as uncharacterized. The record is from RefSeq and is a predicted model, not a curated record. NCBI's taxonomy places the organism in Eukaryota, Metazoa, Chordata, Aves, Psittaciformes, Psittacidae. The transcript has 4 exons.
CAAUUGGCAAAGGCAUCAGGAGGCAUGGGGAGACUGAGAAAGCACUUUGGAAGUGAUCCCCACACUUUAUUCUUUAGCCUGUGGAAGUAAUGGGGACUUCGAUCUUCAUUAGAGAUUUAAUAGCAGGAUGAGACAAAAGGAUACACAGCAGGCCUGAAAGGUCCUUCCUCUCCUGAGCAGUCCCCAUCAAGUCAAUGGGUAAAUGUCUGCAGAAGGGGACCACACUGAAGUUCUGUUGGCCUGAACUGAGUGGACUGGUCGCAACUGAAGGUCAGAAUCAUUUUCCUGCCAACUCUAACUAUGCCCCAUUUAGGUAUUGGAAGACCACUGUACCGUCACCCCUGCAGCUUCUCUUCUCUAGACUGACCAACCCCAACUCUCUCAGCCUGUCUCCAGAGAGGAGGAGCUCCACCCCUCUGACCAUCUUUGUGGCCCUCCUCUGUUAUAAAAGGUAUGACUGUUAAAAAUUCCCCUAGAGUCAGUGAAAUAUUCAUAUCUAAUGUCUCGGCAUUUCUCAGCAGGUGAGGGUUGUGUGUUAGGAGUGGGGGACUUGAGCCCAGGUUCCAUCUCUUGGCAAUGGUCCUGAUGGUCCUCUGAUUACUGCAGACUUGAGAAUCUGCAAACCCUGAGGGAUAUCCCACUCAGAGGGAGAUGCUGGUUGCCACCCACUGCAGUACAGGAGAGCUCAAAGGGCCUCACUUUGAACCACUAUUCACAGGGUCGCAAAAUGAUUGGCUUUAGACAUUAGUAAAUUUCCAUCCUGGGCACAAUCCAAGUCAGUAAUUACUAGGAAUUUUUCAAAACUCCAGUAACAAUGGCACUGUUCUACUCAGGCUAUGAUAAAGGGAAGGAGUGUUCUAAGGCUGUCAAGGAAUGACUGAUUAUCCCUUCUCUUGCUUCCCACCUUAGCCAGGGAACAGAAGUCCCUAGUACAAUCAGUGCCUUCCUCCUUAGCCAUGCAAGAGUUCCUGGUAUGGGCAAGCGACACUUCAUUGCUCAAUUCAUUACACAAAGUCUAAGGACCGGCAGAAAUUCCAGAGAUCAUGGAGCAGCCCAGAGGAUGAGGUGGGGAAGUAAGAUGCACCACCACCAAAAUACAGCAAAUUGAGCACCCCAUUCCAAUCCUAUAGUUAAUAAUCUAUGUACGCUACGUGUAUGCAUGCUUAUUUAUGAGUAUUCCUUUAUGAGUUUACAAUAUGCAUUGCAAAAUCUUGGGAGAGAUGAAUCACUAAUGAACUCAAACCCUCCUAUGAGAUCUGGGUCUAAUCACAACAUCUUCAGUAUGCCUGCUACCUUCUUCACCAUCUUACCAGUAAGCCUAACAAAGGAUUUGUAAAAUAGUCAACAACUAAAUACAUCACUGCACAGUCACAGAAGGAUUAUCAAUAAUGAAAGUUACGAACAGUUAUCAUUCAGUUCUGAGCCUGUUGUACAUUGAAAAUGGAAAUGUCUUCCUUCAAGACCACAGGGCUGCUACAUGUGAAAAUAGAUCCAAUUGUAAUGUUGUUUAUACUGUUAAAUACUGUACAUAUUUACAUGUGAUGUACCUCCUGCUGAUGACAAUACCCUGUCAUGGGUUGGACCCAUCUGCUCCACAACACCUAGGAGGCAAAGCAGAUGUUGCCACAGCACUGCCUCAUCCAUGAAUGGUCAAUUGCUGCAGUGGAGCUGGCAGAUGGGUGUAAAAGCUCUAAUCUCCUUGGUUUUCACAUACGACCCAGUGUCCAGAUCUGCUACGGCUGUCACUUCUGUCUUGCUCAUGACAGCAGUCCAGCUAGUUCUAGAGUCCAGACAUCUAGUCUAUAGCUCUCUAAUAUGGCUACAAGGAUAUUAUGAAAGACCAUGCUGAAACCUUGCCAAAGCAAAUAUAAACCACCGCUACCACUCCGCUGAAACAGUCCUCCCAUUAUCUCACAAUAGAAAGCAAUCAGCUUGAUCAGGCACAAUUUGCACUUGGUAAAUCUAUGCUGCUGUUUCCAAUCACCUUUUGUUCUUCACAUGCCUGAUAACAGCUUCCAGAAGGAUUUGUCCCUUAACUGUCACAUGGUUUGGGGUGUGGCUGAUCAUCCUUCACCUCCCUGGACCUUCACUGCCCUUCUCAAGGAUGAGCAUGACAUUUACCUUCCAUUCACCAGGGUCUCUUCCCCAUUGCUAUGACCCAUUCUUGUGUACAGACAGGAGGCUCAACCAGGUUCCUACCUCCCUCCACUGAGAUCAGGAGCAUUUUACUUAAUGUUAGUCUCCAUUUGGGAGACUAAUAUUAAGGCAGUCACCUUUCCUGCUCAAGAUAUUUGGCUGCCCCUCCUUUUUAACCAGUUCCAUGCUAUCUGGCCUUGGUCAUCUCAUUGCUAUAAAGACUAAGCAACCCUGAGCAAAUGUGACCUUCAAGGGGACACGCAGCACAAUGGGAUUAUUCAAGGACUCUUAUAAUUUCAUUGAGAACAGAGUUGGCUGUUAAAUUUCAUGUCUAUUUGACAACCUAUCCAUCCCUUAUUUAUGUAGGUAUGACUGUGUGCGUGCGUGCAAGUAUUGGCUAAACAGGACUGGCCAGGAACAGAUGGUAGAAGAGGUUGGCUGAAAGAAGGAUAAAUCCUUUCACCCAGUUAUUGGCAGUCCAUGGCAGCAGUUCCCAAGCUACUCUGCUUGGGAACCGCCAGUGCUAUGGCUGCUCUCCUACUGCCAUACUGACGCUCACAUCCCUGCAUUUGGGAGCUCCUCUAAGAGCAUGCUGGUGGUUCUAGGUGGCUUUAUCCAGCCAGGACAAACCAGGGCAUGUCUCUGGCUACAUGAUGCGGGAGGCUGGGCUUGCCGUGGUCAUUCUGACUUAUGGAUUUCAUCAAAGCAAACAGAAGCAGCUUGCCAGCUACUUUGACUUUGAGGGCCAAGCCGAGGGCACAUGGGAAAUUGACAGAGAGAAGAAGGGGAUCAGAGAAGAAAUACUGCCAGCAGCUCACUCCUGUGCUGGGAGAUGCUCAUGCACAGAAAAUUAUCCAGAAGCAGUGAUAGCAGUAACCAUGACAAUGUCAGCAGCACAGCACUAGCAGGGCUCCCUCAGGGAUUAACACUUUUCCAUACCAUGAGCGUAUCUCCCUUUUUCUGACGUAUGCUGUUGUUCCAGUGGUAGUCCAUGUUCGCUUUAUCUUCCUGAAAUCAGAGCUACCUGAGAAACUGCUUUCUCUGCGAAUUGCUUAGGGAGGACUACGUGUAAAAAGAAAGUAUUUUUUACAGAAAGUGUGUCCCAGAGCAUGUGCUUGUGGAGCACUUUGCACCACAGUCCCGCCCUAAUCCCCCUCCCUCAGAUGUCCCCAUCAUAGCCAGGAACCACUGCUGACUGAAACCAAAGUUGCCUCAUUUCACUGAACACACUGCUAUUUUCUAAGAUGUGACUCAGAGCUUUUCAAUUAGGUGUCAGCAUGUGCUAUUUGCUAGAAAUGAAAUCAACAGUAAUUCUACUUUGUUUUUUAGUAAGUUUUUGUCUUUUCUUGCUCCAGAUCAUGAGUGAGGUACACAGGGAGCAGAGCUCAGAGAGACUGGUCCUGGCUGUGUAUAAGGACCUGCUUCUCAUAGCAAAGGCUUCAGGCACGGGUGAGUCACUAACAAGCAUGAUCUUGGUGGAAGGGAAGGCAAACUGUGGGCACUAAGUAGCCUGACAGCUUGGCAGACCUUUCUCACUGACUGCUCAGUUCUCAGGCUUUUGUGCCCACACCAGCCAAGGGAAUAAUAAUAAUAAUAAU